CCCUGAUCCACCCAUGCCGCGUGUGUGAAGAAGGCCUUCGGGUUGUAAAGCACUUUUGUUGGGGAAGAAACCGGCCGGGUUAAUACCCUGGUUGAAUGACGGUACCCAAAGAAUAAGCACCGGCUAACUUCGUGCCAGCAGCCGCGGUAAUACGAAGGGUGCAAGCGUUACUCGGAAUUACUGGGCGUAAAGCGUGCGUAGGCGGUUUGUUAAGUCUGCUGUGAAAGCCCUGGGCUCAACCUGGGAACUGCAGUGGAUACUGGCGAGCUAGAGUGUGUCAGAGGAUGGUGGAAUUCCCGGUGUAGCGGUGAAAUGCGUAGAGAUCGGGAGGAACACCAGUGGCGAAGGCGGCCAUCUGGGACAACACUGACGCUGAGGCACGAAAGCGUGGGGAGCAAACAGGAUUAGAUACCCUGGUAGUCCACGCCCUAAACGAUGCGAACUGGACGUUGGGCACACUUAGGUGCUCAGUGUCGAAGCUAACGCGUUAAGUUCGCCGCCUGGGGAGUACGGUCGCA
RNAcentral lists this ribosomal RNA (518 nucleotides) under uncultured Lysobacterales bacterium. RNAcentral's name for it is "bacterial SSU rRNA". It matches the Rfam family "Bacterial small subunit ribosomal RNA", at positions 381 to 890 of the family's 1533-position model. Lineage: Bacteria; Pseudomonadati; Pseudomonadota; Gammaproteobacteria; Lysobacterales. The record is from RNAcentral.